AUCCAGACUGAAAACCUACAUGUUUGAUCAGACCUUUAGCUCAACUUAAAACACUGCAGCUCUGUACACUUUUUUUCUGAAACGGCACUUUUAUAUCAUGUUUUAUUCAUGCUUUAUUGUUAUUUUAUUUUUUUAUUUCCAAUUCUUUGUUGUUCUUUUACAUAUUUUUAAUUUUACUUCUCUUUGUUUUAAUCAUGUUUAAAUCAAUCAUUCUUUAUUCUUUUUUUUGUUUUAAUUUCCAUUUGUACUGUUAUUCUUUUAUAUGUUUUUUAAUUUGACUUCUCUGUGUAUUUUCUAAUUUGUAAAGCACUUUGAAUGACCGUUGUGUAUGAAAAGUGCUAUAUAAAUAAACUUGCCUUGCCUUGCCUUCAUAUCUGCUUAUUUCCUUGUUCAGACUGCAGAAAUCAGGAGAACCUCCAGAACCAAGCUGUGUAUCUAUGAAGAGUGACAACUCAAGGAGAAUGCCUCCUACCUUCAGUAAUGAAGAAGACCCUCCAGAUCCCAGCUGUGUAUCUAUUAAGAGUGACCACUCAAGGAGAAUGCCUCCUACCUUCAGUAAUGAAGAAGAUCCUCCAGAACCCAGCUGUGUAUCUAUGAAGAGUGACAACUCAAGGAAAAUGCCUCCUACUUUCAGUAAUGCUGUAACAUUGAAAGGGGGAAAGAGUAAUCUACUGCAGGAUCAGUCCAGGUGUGGAUUGUGUGAGGAGCUUCUUACAGAUCCAGUCUCUAUCACCUGUGGACACAGUUUCUGCAGACUGUGCAUCAACAGAUACUGGGAUGAAACUGGUCUGACUGGAGAUUUCAUCUAUCCUUGCUGCAGAAAGAGAUCUAAAACACGUCCUGCUCUUCAUUCACACACAGAGGAGUCUAUAAAGCAAGAUUCUUACCAACUAGAGGAUGAUGUUCUUCCCAGUAUCACACAGAAACACAAAACCAGUAUGAAGAACAGGUACGAGAGCUUAUUUGAGGGAAUCAAAACACAAGAGAACAGAACCCUCCUGAACAGGAUUU
This 1011-nucleotide long non-coding RNA is filed under the name Astyanax mexicanus (Mexican tetra). Its description in RNAcentral is "lncRNA (ENSAMXG00005010917.1)". The record is from RNAcentral. Lineage: Eukaryota; Metazoa; Chordata; Actinopteri; Characiformes; Acestrorhamphidae.